UACAGAGGUCUCAAGCGUUGUUCGGAUUCAUUGGGCGUAAAGGGUGCGUAGGUGGUGGGGUAAGCCGGAUGUGAAAUCCCGGGGCUCAACCCCGGAACUGCAUUCGAUACUGCCUUGCUCGAGUACUGGAGAGGAGACUGGAAUUUACGGUGUAGCAGUGAAAUGCGUAGAUAUCGUAAGGAAGACCAGUGGCGAAGGCGAGUCUCUGGACAGUUACUGACACUGAGGCACGAAGGCCAGGGGAGCAAACGGG
Molecule: ribosomal RNA, 253 nt
Filed under: uncultured bacterium
Lineage: Bacteria
Description: partial 16S ribosomal RNA
Rfam family: Bacterial small subunit ribosomal RNA
Source: RNAcentral